Molecule: ribosomal RNA, 756 nt
Filed under: Triticum aestivum (bread wheat)
Lineage: Eukaryota; Viridiplantae; Streptophyta; Magnoliopsida; Poales; Poaceae
Description: partial small subunit ribosomal RNA
Source: RNAcentral
AUGUCUCCGCCGUCCUCCUCCGACGAGGCCGCGAUCUCCUACGUCUCGUCCGAGGAAGACGACAUCAGCCUGCCGCCGUCGCCUUCCCCGUCCCCCGAGCCCUCUCCCGAACCUUACGCGUCCUCCUCGGAGGACGCGCCUCCCGCAGCCAAGAAGCCGCGGCGACCCCGGAGCGGCACCGCGGGGCGGGCGCGAAGCUGGCCGACCGCGGACGAGGUGGUCCUCCUGGAGGCCGUCGUCGCGCACCGGGAGCGGCACGGCCGGCCCCCCUCCCGCGACGACCUCGCCGCCGCCCUCGCCGGCCGCCUCCGGUACAGCGGCGAGCAGGCCGCCGAGCGCGUGUCCACCCUGCGCAGCCGCUACUACGCCUCCGUCCGGCGGCUCUCCCGCGGCACCGUCCCCGUCACGGACGACGACAUGAGGGUCUACAGACUCUCCAAGCGCCUCUGGGAGGGCACGGUGGCGGAGAGGGCGCAUCGCGCCGCCGACAAGGCCGCGAGGCGCCACCACGAGCGGAGGGGCUCCGCGGAGCUCGAGGCGCUCUACCCCUGCCUCGCCGCGGAGGUGGAGGCGAUCGCGUCGCGGCGGCCGUGCGGCGGGGUGCUCAAGACGGCGUUCGGGAUGAUCGGCGACGAGAGGGCGGCGGCGCUGGAGGCCAGGGUCAGGAAGCAGCGGCGCGCGGAGGUGAAGGCCGGGAUGAAGCGGGCCGAGCUGAGGGGCCAGGUGGCCAGGACGCUACUCGAGUUCAUCAAAUGA